RNAcentral lists this ribosomal RNA (255 nucleotides) under Vibrio parahaemolyticus. RNAcentral's name for it is "partial 16S ribosomal RNA". It matches the Rfam family "Bacterial small subunit ribosomal RNA", at positions 580 to 834 of the family's 1533-position model. The record is from RNAcentral. Lineage: Bacteria; Pseudomonadati; Pseudomonadota; Gammaproteobacteria; Vibrionales; Vibrionaceae.
UUGUUAAGUCAGAUGUGAAAGCCCGGGGCUCAACCUCGGAAUUGCAUUUGAAACUGGCAGACUAGAGUACUGUAGAGGGGGGUAGAAUUUCAGGUGUAGCGGUGAAAUGCGUAGAGAUCUGAAGGAAUACCGGUGGCGAAGGCGGCCCCCUGGACAGAUACUGACACUCAGAUGCGAAAGCGUGGGGAGCAAACAGGAUUAGAUACCCUGGUAGUCCACGCCGUAAACGAUGUCUACUUGGAGGUUGUGGCCUUG